GCGGGAACACCGGCGGCCCGAGUGGUGAUCGUGAUUAUUGGGUCUAAAGGGUCCGUAGCCGGUUUGGUCAGUCCUCCGGGAAAUCUGAUAGCUCAACUAUUAGGCUUUCGGGGGAUACUGCCAGACUUGGAACCGGGAGAGGUAAGAGGUACUACAGGGGUAGGAGUGAAAUCUUGUAAUCCCUGUGGGACCACCUGUGGCGAAGGCGUCUUACCAGAACGGGUUCGACGGUGAGGGACGAAAGCUGGGGGCACGAACCGGAUUAGAUACCCGGGUAGUCCCAGCCGUAAACGAUGCUCGCUAGGUGUCAGGCAUGGCGCGACCGUGUCUGGUGCCGCAGGGAAGCCGUGAAGCGAGCCACCUGGGAAGUACGGCCGCAAGGCUGAAACUUAAAGGAAUUGGCGGGGGAGCACAACAACGGGUGGAGCCCUGCGGUUUAAUUGGACUCAACGCCGGACAACUCACCGGGGGCGACAGCAAUAUGUAGGCCAAGCUGAAGACUUUGCCUGAAUCGCUGAGAAGAGGUGCAUGG
This 532-nucleotide ribosomal RNA is filed under the name uncultured archaeon. Its description in RNAcentral is "bacterial SSU rRNA". It matches the Rfam family "Archaeal small subunit ribosomal RNA", at positions 467 to 997 of the family's 1478-position model. The record is from RNAcentral.